CCUGCCAUGGCUGAGACGGUAAAGCGUCUGCCUACAAUGCAGGAGACCCGGGUUCAAUCCCUGGGUCGGGA
RNAcentral lists this transfer RNA (71 nucleotides) under Bos taurus (domestic cattle). It matches the Rfam family "tRNA". From Rfam's summary of the family: Transfer RNA (tRNA) molecules are approximately 80 nucleotides in length. RNAcentral also lists the same sequence under 2 other names. The record is from Rfam by way of RNAcentral. Lineage: Eukaryota; Metazoa; Chordata; Mammalia; Artiodactyla; Bovidae.